RNAcentral lists this ribosomal RNA (253 nucleotides) under uncultured bacterium. Its description in RNAcentral is "partial 16S ribosomal RNA". It matches the Rfam family "Bacterial small subunit ribosomal RNA", at positions 524 to 776 of the family's 1533-position model. The record is from RNAcentral.
GACGAACUGCCCAAACGUUGUUCGGAAUUACUGGGCGUAAAGGGCGCGUAGGCGGUGUGUCAAGUCAGGCGUGAAAGCCCCGGGCUCAACCUGGGAACCGCGCUUGAGACUGGCACGCUCGAGUUCGGGAGAGGAUGGUGGAAUUCCCAGUGUAGAGGUGAAAUUCGUAGAUAUUGGGAAGAACACCGAUGGCGAAGGCAGCCAUCUGGACCGACACUGACGCUGAGGCGCGAAAGCGUGGGGAGCAAACAGG